CAUUGUGUAUGUUGGCUAACUCAUGUGGUUAUGCUAAAUAGUAGGCGACAUCUCCCACUUUAUCCAACAUCUCAAAAGGUAUGAUAAAUCUAAGAUUGAGUUUUCCUUUCCUCCAAAAUAUCAUGAUCCCUUUAAUUUAUGAGAUUUUUAAAAAUACAUGUUCACCUACUUCAAUCUAAAUCUCUUUUCCGAUUGUUGGCAUAAUUUUUCUGCCUACUUUGAUCUGUUAGAAGAUGUUUUCUAAUCAAUUUCACAUU
RNAcentral lists this long non-coding RNA (257 nucleotides) under Carica papaya (papaya). RNAcentral describes it as "long non-coding RNA (CPAP_LNC001476)". The record is from RNAcentral. Lineage: Eukaryota; Viridiplantae; Streptophyta; Magnoliopsida; Brassicales; Caricaceae.